RNAcentral lists this transfer RNA (81 nucleotides) under Paragonimus skrjabini miyazakii. Its description in RNAcentral is "Paragonimus miyazakii tRNA". It matches the Rfam family "tRNA". From Rfam's summary of the family: Transfer RNA (tRNA) molecules are approximately 80 nucleotides in length. Their secondary structure includes four short double-helical elements and three loops (D, anti-codon, and T loops). Further hydrogen bonds mediate the characteristic L-shaped molecular structure. tRNAs have two regions of fundamental functional importance: the anti-codon, which is responsible for specific mRNA codon recognition, and the 3' end, to which the tRNAs corresponding amino acid is attached (by aminoacyl-tRNA synthetases). tRNAs cope with the degeneracy of the genetic code in two manners: having more than one tRNA (with a specific anti-codon) for a particular amino acid; and 'wobble' base-pairing, i.e. permitting non-standard base-pairing at the 3rd anti-codon position. Lineage: Eukaryota; Metazoa; Platyhelminthes; Trematoda; Plagiorchiida; Troglotrematidae. The record is from Rfam by way of RNAcentral.
GGCUUCGUAGCUCAGCUGGUAGAGCACUUGCCUCGUUGAGGCAUGAUGUUUCUGAUUCUGGUUCGAAUCCAGCCGAAGCCC